RNAcentral lists this ribosomal RNA (218 nucleotides) under uncultured bacterium. Its description in RNAcentral is "partial 16S ribosomal RNA". It matches the Rfam family "Bacterial small subunit ribosomal RNA", at positions 116 to 334 of the family's 1533-position model. The record is from RNAcentral.
CGUACAGAACCUUCCUUUAAGCGGGGAUAGCCCAUAGAAAUGUGGAUUAAUACCCCAUAGCAAUAUUUGAUGGCAUCAUCGGGUAUUUAAAGAUUUAUCACUUAAAGAUGGCUGUGCGGCUGAUUAGGUAGUUGGUGAGGGUAACGGCCCACCAAGUCUGCGAUCAGUAACUGGUGUGAGAGCACGACCAGUCACACGGGCACUGAGACACGGGCCCG